CGUAGGUGGCAAGCGUUGUCCGGAUUUAUUGGGUUUAAAGGGUGCGUAGGCGGUCUAUUAAGUCGGUGCUGAAAUAUCCCGGCUUAACCGGGAGGGUGGCAUUGAUACUGAUGGACUUGAGUGCAGUCGAGGUAGGCGGAAUUGACGGUGUAGCGGUGAAAUGCUUAGAUAUCGUCAAGAACACCGAUAGUGAAGACAGCUUACUAGACUGUAACUGACGCUGAGGCACGAAAGUGUGGGGAUCAAACAGGAUUAGAUACCCUGGUAGUCCACACUGUAAACGUUGAUUACUCGAUGCGUGCGAUAUACAGUACGCGUCUUAGCGCAAGCGAUAAGUAAUCCACCUGGGGAGUACGCCGGCAACGGUG
RNAcentral lists this ribosomal RNA (368 nucleotides) under uncultured organism. RNAcentral's name for it is "bacterial SSU rRNA". It matches the Rfam family "Bacterial small subunit ribosomal RNA", at positions 526 to 896 of the family's 1533-position model. The record is from RNAcentral.